Molecule: RNA transcript, 4915 nt
Organism: Neogale vison (American mink)
Lineage: Eukaryota; Metazoa; Chordata; Mammalia; Carnivora; Mustelidae
Gene: ERCC4
Gene name: ERCC excision repair 4, endonuclease catalytic subunit
Exons: 12
Source: RefSeq, a predicted model, not a curated record
AUGGAGCCGGGAUUGCCGGCUCGGCCGACAGCUAUGGCGCCACUGCUGGAGUAUGAGCGGCAGCUGGUGCUGGAACUGCUGGACGCGGACGGGCUGGUAGUGUGCGCCCGCGGGCUCGGCGCGGACCGGCUCCUGUACCACUUCCUCCGGCUGCACUGCCACCCGGCGUGCCUGGUGCUGGUGCUCAACACUCAGCCGGCGGAGGAGGAGUACUUCAUCAAUCAGCUGAAGAUUGAAGGAGUCGAGCACCUCCCUCGCCGCGUAACAAAUGAAAUCACCAGUAACAGCCGCUAUGAGGUCUACACACAAGGAGGGGUAAUAUUUGCAACAAGUCGAAUACUUGUGGUUGACUUCUUGACCGAUAGAAUACCUUCAGAUUUAAUUACCGGUGUCUUGGUGUACAGAGCUCACAGGAUAAUCGAGUCUUGUCAAGAAGCCUUCAUCUUGCGCCUGUUCCGCCAGAAAAACAAGCGUGGCUUUAUCAAGGCCUUCACAGACAACGCUGUCGCCUUCGAUACUGGUUUUUGCCACGUGGAAAGAGUGAUGAGGAAUCUCUUCGUAGGGAAGCUCUACCUGUGGCCAAGGUUCCAUGUAGCUGUAAACUCGUUUUUAGAACAGCACAAACCUGAAGUUGUAGAAAUUCACGUUUCCAUGACGCCCGCCAUGCUUGCCAUUCAGACUGCCAUACUGGACAUUUUAAACGCGUGUCUGAAGGAGCUCAAAUGCCAUAACCCGUCCCUCGAAGUGGAAGAUUUGUCUCUAGAAAAUGCUAUCGGAAAACCCUUUGACAAGACAAUACGCCAUUAUCUGGAUCCUUUGUGGCACCAGCUUGGAGCCAAGACCAAGUCCCUGGUUCAGGACUUGAAGAUAUUACGAACUCUGCUGCAGUACCUCUCUCAGUAUGACUGUAUCACGUUCCUUAACCUUCUGGAAUCUCUGAGAGCCACAGAGAAGGCCUUUGGUCAGAAUUCAGGUUGGCUGUUUCUUGACUCCAGCACCUCAAUGUUUGUAAAUGCUCGAGCAAGGGUUUACCAUCUUCCAGAUGCCAAAAUGAACAAAAAAGGCAAAAUGUCUGAAAAAACAGAGAUUAAAGAAGAACAAGAAACAAAAAAGGAACUGGUCCUAGAAAGCAACCCCAAGUGGGAAGCAUUAACCGAAGUACUGAAAGAAAUCGAGGCAGAAAAUAAGGAGAGUGAAGCCCUUGGUGGUCCAGGUCAAGUACUCAUUUGUGCAAGCGAUGACCGCACGUGUUCCCAGCUGAGAGAGUACAUCACUAUUGGAGCAGAGGCCUUCUUGCUGAGGCUGUACAGGAAAACCUUCGAGAAGGAUAGCAAAGCCGAAGAAGUGUGGAUGAAAUUUCGACGUGAGGACAGCCCCAAGAGAAUGGCGAAAUCGAACAAAAGGCCUAAAGACCCCCAAAACAAACAGAGGGCUGCCACCAAAGAAAGGACUCUCAAAAAGAAAAGGCGAAGGUUAACCUUAACUCAGAUGAUGGGAAAGUCUGACGAACCGGAAGAGGAAGGGGAUGUCAAGGAAGGCGGGCCUAGGGACACAGGCAGUAGCCCAGAGAGCUCCUUAGAAGAAAUUAAGCACGAGGAAUUUGACUUGAACUUGUCCUCUGACGCCGCAUAUGGACUCCUGAAAGACCCGCUCACCAUCCUGCAUCCGCUCCUGGGCUGUAGUGACCCCUACGCUCUGACAAGGGUGCUCCAUGAAGUGGAGCCGAGAUACGUGGUUCUGUACGACGCCGAGCUCACGUUCGUUCGCCAGCUCGAGAUUUACAGGGCGAGCAGGCCUGGGAAGCCUCUGAGGGUCUACUUUCUGAUAUAUGGAGGUUCAACCGAGGAACAGCGCUAUCUCACUGCCUUGCGGAAAGAAAAAGAAGCUUUUGAGAAACUCAUAAGGGAGAAGGCCAGCAUGGUGGUCCCUGAAGGGAGGGAAGGUAGAGACGAAGCAAAUCUGGACCUGGUAAGAGGCCCCGCGGCUGCAGGUGCUGCCGUGGACACCCGUAAAGCAGGUGGCCAGGAACAGAACAGGACGCAGCAAACCAUAGUCGUGGAUGUGCGGGAGUUCCGCAGUGAGCUCCCCUCCCUGAUCCACCGUCGGGGCAUUGACAUUGAACCCGUGACGCUGGAGGUCGGAGACUACAUUCUGACCCCGGAGAUGUGCGUCGAGCGCAAGAGCAUCAGCGACCUGAUUGGCUCGUUAAACAACGGCCGCCUGUACGGCCAGUGCAUCUCCAUGGCCCGCUACUACAAGCGCCCCGUGCUGCUGAUCGAGUUUGACCCCGGGAAGCCCUUCUCCCUCACCUCCCGGGGCGCCCUCCAUCAGGAGAUCUCCAGCAACGACAUCAGCUCCAAACUCACCCUCCUCACGCUCCACUUCCCCAGACUCCGGAUUCUCUGGUGCCCCUCGCCUCACGCCACCGCCGAGCUGUUCGAGGAGCUGAAACAGAACAAGCCACAGCCCGAUGCGGCCACAGCCGUGGCCGUCACUGCAGAUUCGGAGGCGCUCCCCGAAUCAGAAAAGUAUAACCCCGGUCCCCAGGACUUCUUAUUAAAAAUGCCAGGGGUGAACGCCAAAAACUGUCGCACCUUGAUGCAGCACGUGAAGAACAUCGCGGAACUGGCCAGCCUGUCACAGGACAAGCUGGCGGGCAUUCUGGGCAAUGCCGGCAAUGCCAAGCAGCUCUAUGACUUCAUUCAUACCUCUUACGCAGAGGUCAUGUCCAAGGGAAAAAUGAAAAAGUGAACAGUGACGGCUGUCUUCUUGUCACAUGACUGUGCUUUUCAGCCACUCUCUGCCGGUAUUCCUAGGCCCUGAUUAAUUAUUAGCUCAGAAUUUCCCUGUCUUCCAGCACUUAAUGGCUGUGCCCUCUGCUUCCUGGCUCUGCGGACCAGAACCCAAGACUCCUCUUGGAACCCCAACGCUCUUCAUUGAGUGUUUGCGCUCAGAGUAGACACUGGACCAUGUAACGCAAAAUGGUCUUCACCUUCACAGAAGUUCUUUCAACUGACCUCUCCAAGCUGAACCGCUAAUGUCAACUUCUUGCUCUCCUGGUAUGUUAACCUACAUUAAUACUGCUAAAGUCGAUGUGGAUUUCAAACUCGAUACAGGGUACCACAAGAAUGAAUUGAGGGGUAUCAGGGAACCAUAUUGUUCUAUGAAAUUCUGUACAGUGAUCUGAGGAACAUAGAAGAGGACAGGAAACAGAAGUUAAAGGUGGAAUAAAGGAUCAGGCUUCUAAAUGUUUCCAAGGGCUAAAUAGCUACCCCGGAGACUAGAAAACAAGAUGUCAGGUACAGAUGUUAAUUUUCACUUCUGUACCCGUGUAUUUAAGAGUCCAGUCCAAGCACAUUAACAUCGAUACAGCGCCUCAAAAGGAUGGUUAUUACAAUUUUUUUACCCUCGUCUAGCACUUCUGCUUGUGGUGUAUAGUUCCUGGUUUUUCUUGUAGAAUUCCACCUGGCUUAUAUUGUUCUUUCCCUAUGUAAAAGGCAGAUGGAACAUAGCACAUCUUUUGAUAUAGGUUUCACUCCAGUUUAAACUUUCAGAAAUAAGCUCUGUUCUUAAAGCCACCAUAAAUAGCCCUUGUCGUCUCGUACAACGUGGAGAACACUCUUGGUUGUAUUUAGAGGGCCGGUGUCUCUGGCUCUUGGAGUCUGUUAUCUGCUGUUGUAUGCACUAGACAUUUGAAGAUGUGCACUGUCUCGUGUGUACUUGAAUUAUGAAUGGUAGUUUCUAAUGAACUCGAAAAUGCUCAUUAUAGAUGCAAGGCUCUCACUACCACUUCCCCUUCCAAGUAAAUAAAUAUAUUUUAAUGCAUCUGUAGUUGUGGAAAACCUUCAAUACAACCUUCGUGUAUUGACUUUUGCCACAUCCUUUUACAAAUUUUUAUAAUCUAAGAAUCUUUGGCAAAGGAACUAAUGCAUGAAUUUGCAGAAUUAAUGUAUCACUUUAUUGUCGAGCAUCAUAUUGUUACCUUUGCCUUUUUUCUUUCAGAAUAGUAAAUAUACCAGUUACUUAUGAACUUAUGCUUAGCUUUUUUUUAAAAAACCUGAGUUCAGCAUUUUUCUAUUUUACAAGCUUUUUGCUGAUUUGUAAAAAUCAGAGUGUAUGAAAGAUAAAUCGUUUCCAACUUUGUUUAAAUCAUAGUGCCUCUUGAUGUUCUUUAAAAAUUAUACAGCAAGAAAUCAUUUUAUAGUAAUAGUGGCCAUAAAUAAUGUCCUUUUGUCAAGAAGUUGCCACUUUUUUCAGUUUGGGGCUCAGGAGACCGUAUGUCUCCGUGCAAACUCCGAAUGCUGUUUCCCAGCCCAGUGGGACUGAAAAUAAUUGUCCGUUCAUCAACCCACUGGCACACAGAGGGUUAAGUCUAGAUUUGGUUGUGUUGAGAUAACAGAAUCUAGAAUGAAUGACUGGCCUUCAGCAGGAAAGUCUACGCUGAAGCAAAUCUGAAGAUGUGGUGGGGGAGAGAGGCAGACAUCAUUAGUCUUUGCUUUUGUUUUUCAAGCGUAAUUCGAUUUUCCUUUGGCUCAGAAAACUUCUUUAGGGAAAUUCUCUUCUCUUUUGUGUUCAGUUUAGCCCAGAAACGUCCUCUUAAAAACCAACAGUUUAGGAAAGUUCUUUACUCAGUCUCGAAUACAUUAAAACGCAUCCAGACUUCAACGUGCGUUGUCAUUUUUCUUCAUAAUUUUGCUUUCUGUUUUGGUUUAUGGCUACAUCCUGUCCAAUUCCGAACCCCAGUACUUCACUGUCUUUAUCCGCAGGUUUUUGGUAAGCCACCCUACUGCUGUUUUUUAAUUUAAGGGCAUGUAAGCCAAAAUUUGGAUGGGAGGGAAACAUAAUUGAUUUAUAUCAAUUUGUAACAAGAAUUGUAUGUGAGUAUGUUUUUAAUAAAAUCUGUAUUUAUUCAGUA